GGGCCCGCGCAAGCGGCGGAGCAUGCGGAUUAAUUCGAUGCAACGCGAAGAACCUUACCAAGGCUUGACAUAUAGAGGAAAAGUGUAGAAAUACACUCCCCGCAAGGUCUCUAUACAGGUGGUGCAUGGUUGUCGUCAGCUCGUGUCGUGAGAUGUUGGGUUAAGUCCCGCAACGAGCGCAACCCUCGUCCUAUGUUGCCAGCACGUAAUGGUGGGAACUCAUGGGAUACUGCCGGGGUCAACUCGGAGGAAGGUGGGGAUGACGUCAAAUCAUCAUGCCCCUUAUGUCUUGGGCUUCACGCAUGCUACAAUGGCCGGUACAGAGGGCAGCAAUACCGUAAGGUGGAGCGAAUCCCACAAAGCCGGUCUCAGUUCGGAUUGAGGUCUGCAACUCGACCUCAUGAAGUUGGAGUCGCUAG
RNAcentral lists this ribosomal RNA (419 nucleotides) under uncultured bacterium. RNAcentral describes it as "bacterial SSU rRNA". It matches the Rfam family "Bacterial small subunit ribosomal RNA", at positions 917 to 1338 of the family's 1533-position model. The record is from RNAcentral.